GCAAGUCGAACGAGAAUCAAUCCUUCGGGGUUGAGGAAAGUGGCGCACGGGUGCGUAACACGUGGGUAAUCAACCCUCUUGACUGGGACUACUCGGGGAAACUCGAGCUAAUACCGGAUGUCGCGUUCAGGACUUCGGGCCUGAACGUAAAAGGAGUAAUCCGCAAGAAGACGAGCUCGCGGCCCAUCAGCUAGUUGGAGAGGUAAUGGCUCACCAAGGCUAAGACGGGUAGCUGGUCUGAGAGGAUGAUC
RNAcentral lists this ribosomal RNA (251 nucleotides) under uncultured bacterium. Its description in RNAcentral is "partial 16S ribosomal RNA". It matches the Rfam family "Bacterial small subunit ribosomal RNA", at positions 57 to 305 of the family's 1533-position model. The record is from RNAcentral.